This 111-nucleotide small nuclear RNA is filed under the name Piliocolobus tephrosceles (Ugandan red Colobus). Lineage: Eukaryota; Metazoa; Chordata; Mammalia; Primates; Cercopithecidae. The record is from RNAcentral.
GUGUUCUCACUUUAACCACACACAUAUACUGAAACUGGGAUGAUACAGAUAAGAUUAGCAUAGCCCUUGGACAAGGGUGACAAAUAAAUUCUUGAAGCCUUCCAUUAAAAA